Molecule: ribosomal RNA, 497 nt
Filed under: uncultured bacterium
Lineage: Bacteria
Description: partial 16S ribosomal RNA
Rfam family: Bacterial small subunit ribosomal RNA
Source: RNAcentral
GAUGAACGCUGGCGGCGUGCCUAAUACAUGCAAGUCGAGCGAACGGACGAGAAGCUUGCUUCUCUGAUGUUAGCGGCGGACGGGUGAGUAACACGUGGAUAACCUACCUAUAAGACUGGGAUAACUUCGGGAAACCGGAGCUAAUACCGGAUAAUAUUUUGAACCGCAUGGUUCAAAAGUGAAAGACGGUCUUGCUGUCACUUAUAGAUGGAUCCGCGCUGCAUUAGCUAGUUGGUAAGGUAACGGCUUACCAAGGCAACGAUGCAUAGCCGACCUGAGAGGGUGAUCGGCCACACUGGAACUGAGACACGGUCCAGACUCCUACGGGAGGCAGCAGUAAGGAAUCUUCCGCAAAGGGCGAAAGCCUGACGGAGCAACGCCGCGUGAGUGAUGAAGGUCUUCGGAUCGUAAAACUCUGUUAUUAGGGAAGAACAUAUGUGUAAGUAACUGUGCACAUCUUGACGGUACCUAAUCAGAAAGCCACGGCUAACUACGUG